UAGGGAAUCUUCGGCAAAGGACGGAAGUCUGACCGAGCAACGCCGCGUGAGUGAAGAAGGUUUUCGGAUCGUAAAGCUCUGUUGUUAGAGAAGAACGUUGGUAGGAGUGGAAAAUCUACCAAGUGACGGUAACUAACCAGAAAGGGACGGCUAACUACGUGCCAGCAGCCGCGGUAAUACGUAGGUCCCGAGCGUUGUCCGGAUUUAUUGGGCGUAAAGCGAGCGCAGGCGGUUCUUUAAGUCUGAAGUUAAAGGCAGUGGCUUAACCAUUGUACGCUUUGGAAACUGGAGGACUUGAGUGCAGAAGGGGAGAGUGGAAUUCCAUGUGUAGCGGUGAAAUGCGUAGAUAUAUGGAGGAACACCGGUGGCGAAAGCGGCUCUCUGGUCUGUAACUGACGCUGAGGCUCGAAAGCGUGGGGAGCAAACAGGAUUAGAUACCCUGGUAGUCCACGCCGUAAACGAUGAGUGCUAGGUGUUAGGCCCUUUCCGGGGCUUAGUGCCGCAGCUAACGCAUUAAGCACUCCGCCUGGGGAGUACGACCGCAAGGUUGA
Molecule: ribosomal RNA, 551 nt
Filed under: uncultured bacterium
Lineage: Bacteria
Description: bacterial SSU rRNA
Rfam family: Bacterial small subunit ribosomal RNA
Source: RNAcentral